UUUUUGGUUGGGUGGGACCAACUUCAGCCCCUCCCUGGCAUCUUUACCCAGAAACUGGGAGCAGACCUUGGACCCUUGCCAAAAUAG
This 87-nucleotide non-coding RNA is filed under the name Daubentonia madagascariensis (aye-aye). Lineage: Eukaryota; Metazoa; Chordata; Mammalia; Primates; Daubentoniidae. The record is from RNAcentral.